RNAcentral lists this ribosomal RNA (527 nucleotides) under uncultured bacterium. RNAcentral describes it as "bacterial SSU rRNA". It matches the Rfam family "Bacterial small subunit ribosomal RNA", at positions 8 to 526 of the family's 1533-position model. The record is from RNAcentral.
AGGGUUUGAUCAUGGCUCAGGAUGAACGCUAGCGGCAGGCCUAACACAUGCAAGUCGAGGGGUAACAGGGAAAAGCUUGCUUUUCCGCUGACGACCGGCGCACGGGUGCGUAACGCGUAUGCAACCUACCUUUUACAGGAGUAUAGCCCAGAGAAAUUUGGAUUAAUCCUCCAUAAUAUCUUUUUCAUGCAUAUGAUAAAGAUUAAAGCUUCGGCGGUAAAAGAUGGGCAUGCGUUUUAUUAGCUAGUAGGUGAGGUAACGGCUCACCUAGGCCACGAUAAAUAGGGGCCCUGAGAGGGGGAUCCCCCACACUGGUACUGAGACACGGACCAGACUCCUACGGGAGGCAGCAGUGAGGAAUAUUGGACAAUGGACGAAAGUCUGAUCCAGCCAUGCCGCGUGCAGGAUGACGGCCCUAUGGGUUGUAAACUGCUUUUAUACAGGAAGAAACACCCCCACGUGUGGGGGUUUGACGGUACUGUACGAAUAAGGAUCGGCUAACUCCGUGCCAGCCGCCGCGGUAAUAC